AAACAAAUCUCCUCUUCUUGGUUCUCAAAAAUACCUGCAAAAUCAGUCCAAACCAUUCUCUCUCUCUUAACACUCCUCCCUCUCUCGCUGCAAGGGAAAUGCAAUCUAUUCAAACAAGAUUGUUGAUGUUGUUGAGAGGGAAGAAGGGGAGUUAGAGGAAGAUGAAAUUGAUUUGGAUAUGGAACCAUGUGAGAAUGUUAAUAAUGGGGGAUGUCUUAAAUAUGAACAUUGAAGGUUUAGAGGUUGAGCCUAAAGAAAAUGGUUUGGAAAAGAAAAUGAAUUAUAUUUGUGAUGAGCAUAACUGUGAUUGAAGCUAACAAAUCAUUUGAUGCAGUUUGAACAUUGGAGGGCUUGCAGGAAGUUGUUCUGGGAAAUAGCAUUUCCAAUAAAUAUGAUCUUAUUCAAUUGUCAUGCACUGCUGUUCGAGUGAUUAAUUCUACUUCUUUCUCUUCUAAAUAGAUGAUUUCAACCUGAGCAUUCUAAAGAGCUGGAUGUAAUCUUGAGGAUGAGGAGGACAUUAUUGAACCAGAGCCAUAAGUUUCCUGGCAGAUAACUUUUAGAGAGAAAAGGCAGCAGAUUUGAACUGUGGGAUGUAUGCUUUGUAUCCGUCAUCCAUAGGACACUGUUUUAUUUGUUAUUCAAAAGAGACCCUACUGAUCAAAUUAUACAUGGAAGUUGAGCUUAUUCGCUUGAAUUGGUUACAGCGGCAUUUGGCAGAAAUUGGCGAUGCUCCUCAUGUUGGAGAUGAGCCUACAAUUUCUCUAUCCUCAAGGUUUUUUCUCUCUUUUUAGCCUGCGAACUUACACGAACUGACACAUUGCUUGCAGUUGUUAAUAUCCCAAUGAAUGCUCGGGACUCCAAGCUCAAUUGCAUAUUCUAGCACUUAGCCAUGUCGAACAAUUCUGAAACACUCUUCUUUGCCACAAGAGCAAAGGAAGUCAUCAACAAUGCCCAAGUUAACAUGGUUGUUUCCGACAAGCAGCUGAUUUAUAUAAAAGGAAGUCGCCAGCUAGAAGUAGAACCACAGACUCUUGAUCCUUCAAAGGAAAAAACUUGAAAAUUUCAGCAGGUGAGUUUCAGCAGCUUAAUUGAAUACACAGUCAUCUAAUGAAUGUACCAUAUAUACAUUUUUUUAUUUGAGAACGAGUCUAUCGAUUGCUUAAUCUGGAUAUCUUACUGCUUAUCAAAACUGUAAAUUAUUAUGAUAAUCGGACAAGAAAAAGACUUUUUCAAAAAAAAAAAUUGUGUGAAAAAUGAAUAGAUCGCAACUAAUCUAAUAAUGAUCGGGAUAUUAAAAUAUAUCAUUGAUUUUGUAGUUUCCUUUUAUAAAUUCUUUAAGGCAUGUGAUGCAAUUUGUAAGCAAACUUUAGUGUUUCUUAUUGAGCCAUUAAGUUUGAGCUACUCUUAGUACUAAACCUGGUUUGACUUGCCGUUGUGAUCUUGUUUGAGGCAUCUCAUAAGUAUUUCUAAAGGGUAACCGAGUGAACACUUUUUCUCUGUGUUGGUAACUCUAUAUGCCAGCGCAAGUACUAAAUUAACAGGUUGUGUUGCCUCCAAAGACAAGUUUACUUUCUGCUAUCUCAUUUUCAGCAGUUUUAGUAUUAUUUUAUUAUAUAUUCAAUAUUAUUCUUAAUUUACUUUUAAUUUAUGUUUAUUCUAUAAUUUAUUUGUUUAUUUGCACUUUUAUUUGUUAAUUUCCUUUACUAAUCUAAAUUUUUUUAUAGCGACAAGUUCUAAUUACCCGAUUCAGAGAUCUUAAGUGGUCCUUUUUGGACUUUUAGGAAUACUUUAGUUUAGUUAAUUAAUUAGUUAAUUCCUUAUUUGAUUUUUUGAGGCUUUUAAGCCAUGGUUGUAAUUAAUUUUUCCUUAAUUGCCCCGAUAUCCUUAAUCCCAUUCUAAAUUUUUCUU
Long non-coding RNA from Ricinus communis (castor bean), 1908 nucleotides. RefSeq lists it as uncharacterized. NCBI's taxonomy places the organism in Eukaryota, Viridiplantae, Streptophyta, Magnoliopsida, Malpighiales, Euphorbiaceae. The record is from RefSeq and is a predicted model, not a curated record. The transcript is spliced from 5 exons.